RNAcentral lists this ribosomal RNA (497 nucleotides) under uncultured bacterium. Its description in RNAcentral is "bacterial SSU rRNA". It matches the Rfam family "Bacterial small subunit ribosomal RNA", at positions 28 to 519 of the family's 1533-position model. The record is from RNAcentral.
GAUGAACGCUAGCGGCAGGCUUAACACAUGCAAGUCGAGGGGCAGCGCGAUGUAGCAAUACAUUGGCGGCGACCGGCGCACGGGUGCGUAACACGUAUGGAACUUACCCUUUACUGGGAGAUAGCCCGGAGAAAUCCGGAUUAAUAUCCCAUAAUAAACGAAGUGGCAUCACUUUGUUUUGAAAGCUCCGGCGGUAAAGGAUGGCCAUGCGCACGAUUAGCUAGUAGGUGAGGUAACGGCUCACCUAGGCUACGAUCCGUUAGGGGGCCUGAGAGGGUUAUCCCCCACACUGGUACUGAGACACGGACCAGACUCCUACGGGAGCAGCAGUGAGGAAUAUUGCGCAAUGGAGGCAACUCUGACGCAGCCAUGCCGCGUGCAGGGAAGAAGGCGCUACGCGUUGUAAACUGCUUUUAACCGGGAGAAACCCUCCGACGUGUCGGAGGUUGACGGUACCGGAGGAAUAAGCACCGGCUAACUUCGUGCCAGCAGCCGCG